This 253-nucleotide ribosomal RNA is filed under the name uncultured bacterium. RNAcentral's name for it is "partial 16S ribosomal RNA". It matches the Rfam family "Bacterial small subunit ribosomal RNA", at positions 524 to 776 of the family's 1533-position model. The record is from RNAcentral.
UACGUAGGGUGCGAGCGUUAAUCGGAAUUACUGGGCGUAAAGAGUGCGUAGGCGGUUCGUUAUGUCUGUUGUGAAAGCCCCGGGCUCAACCUGGGAAUGGCAAUGGAUACUGGCAGGCUAGAGUGCGGUAGAGGGUAGUGGAAUUCCCGGUGUAGCGGUGAAAUGCGUAGAUAUCGGAAGGAACAUCAGUGGCGAAAGCGGCUUCCUGGUCCAGCACCGACGUUCAGGCACGAAAGCGUGGGGAGCAAACAGG